RNAcentral lists this unclassified non-coding RNA (376 nucleotides) under soil metagenome. Its description in RNAcentral is "partial contains 5.8S ribosomal RNA, internal transcribed spacer 2, and large subunit ribosomal RNA". The stretch from base 1 to 120 matches the Rfam family "5.8S ribosomal RNA", at positions 35 to 154 of the family's 154-position model. The record is from RNAcentral.
GAUGAAGAACGUAGCGAAAUGCGAUAAGUAAUGUGAAUUGCAGAAUUCAGUGAAUCAUCGAAUCUUUGAACGCAUCUUGCGCUCCUUGGUAUUCUGAGGAGCAUGCCUGUUUGAGUGUCAUUAAAUUCUCAACUACACUGACUUUGAAUUGGUGUGGCUUGGAUUUGGGGGGAAAAUUGUUGUGGGCUUUUUGUAUAGUCUGCUCCCCUGAAAUUGAUUAGCGGUACCUUUGUGGAACUGUCUACAGGUGUGAUAAUUAUCUACAUAUUAGACAUCUGCUGGAAUGCUGAUUUCUAAACCUUACUUGUAUUGACAAUCUUGACCUCAAAUCAGGUAGGACUACCCGCUGAACUUAAGCAUAUCAAUAAGCGGAGGA